RNAcentral lists this long non-coding RNA (715 nucleotides) under Nicotiana tabacum (common tobacco). RNAcentral's name for it is "long non-coding RNA (NTAB_LNC004204)". Lineage: Eukaryota; Viridiplantae; Streptophyta; Magnoliopsida; Solanales; Solanaceae. The record is from RNAcentral.
UAAAAACCCUUUAAACUCACUUUUCGUCCUUCCCAGCCGCCUCCCCAUGCGUUCCCUUCCCAACCGCCUUCCCUUUUCCUCCCUUUUCCCAUUUCCUUCUUCAACAUCACUUUCUCUAUUCACAUGUACAGAGCAAACCAAUGGAAUCACCGGCUAGAUAGUCUGGCAUCUUCUGUCUUUCCAAGUAUGUUUAUGUAUUUAUAUUUAGAAUUUUUCAAUUCCAUACACCUACUUGAUUUGAAUUUUUGGAUUUAUAUUCUAACAAUUUGAUAUAUAUAUAUAUAUAUAUAAUGCAGUAUUAUGAUAGGUAUUGAGUGGAACCUUAAAGAUUAUAAUGCAAUGUUGGGAAGAGCCACUCGAAAAGACAUUACAAAUAAAAAUUAGAUGAAAAUCUUUUCAAAAGUUUUUAGAAAAGUAUACAGGUUUAUUUUCUUAUCUUGUUGCAUUGAAUUUUUCCCUUUUGUUAUACGUUAUCAUUGAAAAGUAUACAGCUAAUUUUUGUUUCUUUUGAAUUUAUAUGGUACAUUUUAAUCUAUUGAAUGCAAGAAGAUCAAGGAUUAGUCUUGAUACAAAGAGUGAAAUUACUUCAUCCGUGAUGGCAGAAGAUCAUUUGGUGACAACAUCUUCAAUCCCAGAUUAAAUACUUAUAACUUAGUUCUGUUUUGAUGUGGAACCCUUCAGAAUUUUAUAUAAUAUAGUUUACUUUUGAUAGAUA